AUACGGAGGGUGCGAGCGUUAAUCGGAAUUACUGGGCGUAAAGCGCGCGUAGGUGGUUUGAUAAGUCGGAUGUGAAAGCCCUGGGCUUAACCUGGGAAUGGCAUUCGAAACUGUCAGACUAGAGUAUGGUAGAGGGAAGUGGAAUUCCGGGUGUAGCGGUGAAAUGCGUAGAUAUCCGGAGGAACACCAGUGGCGAAGGCGGCUUCCUGGACCAAUACUGACACUGAUGUGCGAAAGCGUGGGGAGCAAACAGGAUUAGAAACCCCGGUAGUCC
RNAcentral lists this ribosomal RNA (274 nucleotides) under uncultured bacterium. Its description in RNAcentral is "partial 16S ribosomal RNA". It matches the Rfam family "Bacterial small subunit ribosomal RNA", at positions 523 to 796 of the family's 1533-position model. The record is from RNAcentral.